Molecule: ribosomal RNA, 504 nt
Filed under: uncultured bacterium
Lineage: Bacteria
Description: bacterial SSU rRNA
Rfam family: Bacterial small subunit ribosomal RNA
Source: RNAcentral
GGCGUCAGGAGUGAACGCUGGCGGCAGGCUAAUACAUGCAAGUCGAACGGUAACGACCGGUAGCAAUACUGGGGCGACGAGUGGCGCACGGGUGCGUAACGCGUAUGCAACCUGCCCUCAACCGGGACACAACGCCGAGAAAUUGGCGCUAAUAUCCCAUGUGUACAGGAGACGGCAUCGUUUUCUAUAUAAAGAUUUAUGGUUGAGGAUGGGCAUGCGUAACAUUAGCUAGUUGGCGGGGUAACGGCUCACCAAGGCGACGAUGUUUAGGGGUUCUGAGAGGAUUCACCCCCACACUGGAACUGAGACACGGUCCAGACUCCUACGGGAGGCAGCAGUAGGGAAUAUUGGGCAAUGGAGGCAACUCUGACCCAGCCAUGCCGCGUGAAGGAAGACGGCCCUAUGGGUUGUAAACUUCUUUUGCCGCAGAGUAACCGCGGGGACGUGUCCCUGCCUGAGAGUAUGCGGCGAAUAAGUAUCGGCUAACUCCGUGCCAGCCGCGGC